This 253-nucleotide ribosomal RNA is filed under the name uncultured bacterium. RNAcentral's name for it is "partial 16S ribosomal RNA". It matches the Rfam family "Bacterial small subunit ribosomal RNA", at positions 524 to 776 of the family's 1533-position model. The record is from RNAcentral.
UACAGAGGGUGCGAGCGUUAAUCGGAAUUGCUGGGCGUAAAGGGCGCGUAGGCGGCGGGGUAAGUCGGGUGUGAAAUCUCAGGGCUCAACCCUGAAACUGCACUCGAUACUGCUCUGCUUGAGGACUGGAGAGGAGACUGGAAUUCACGGUGUAGCAGUGAAAUGCGUAGAGAUCGUGAGGAAGACCAGUGGCGAAGGCGGGUCUCUGGACAGUUCCUGACGCUGAGGCGCGAAGGCCAGGGGAGCAAACGGG